This 571-nucleotide ribosomal RNA is filed under the name Bacillus subtilis. RNAcentral describes it as "bacterial SSU rRNA". It matches the Rfam family "Bacterial small subunit ribosomal RNA", at positions 94 to 650 of the family's 1533-position model. Lineage: Bacteria; Bacillati; Bacillota; Bacilli; Caryophanales; Bacillaceae. The record is from RNAcentral.
AGCGGCGGACGGGUGAGUAACACGUGGGUAACCUGCCUGUAAGACUGGGAUAACUCCGGGAAACCGGGGCUAAUACCGGAUGGUUGUUUGAACCGCAUGGUUCAAACAUAAAAGGUGGCUUCGGCUACCACUUACAGAUGGACCCGCGGCGCAUUAGCUAGUUGGUGAGGUAAUGGCUCACCAAGGCAACGAUGCGUAGCCGACCUGAGAGGGUGAUCGGCCACACUGGGACUGAGACACGGCCCAGACUCCUACGGGAGGCAGCAGUAGGGAAUCUUCCGCAAUGGACGAAAGUCUGACGGAGCAACGCCGCGUGAGUGAUGAAGGUUUUCGGAUCGUAAAGCUCUGUUGUUAGGGAAGAACAAGUACCGUUCGAAUAGGGCGGUACCUUGACGGUACCUAACCAGAAAGCCACGGCUAACUACGUGCCAGCAGCCGCGGUAAUACGUAGGUGGCAAGCGUUGUCCGGAAUUAUUGGGCGUAAAGGGCUCGCAGGCGGUUUCUUAAGUCUGAUGUGAAAGCCCCCGGCUCAACCGGGGAGGGUCAUUGGAAACUGGGGAACUUGAGUGCA